RNAcentral lists this ribosomal RNA (451 nucleotides) under uncultured bacterium. RNAcentral's name for it is "partial 16S ribosomal RNA". It matches the Rfam family "Bacterial small subunit ribosomal RNA", at positions 30 to 473 of the family's 1533-position model. The record is from RNAcentral.
AUUGAACGCUGGCGGCAUGCCUUACACAUGCAAGUCGAACGGUAACGCGGGGCAACCUGGCGACGAGUGGCGAACGGGUGAGUAAUAUAUCGGAACGUGCCCAAUAGUGGGGGAUAGCCCGGCGAAAGCCGGAUUAAUACCGCAUACGACCUGAGGGUGAAAGCGGGGGAUCGCAAGACCUCGCGCUAUUGGAGCGGCCGAUAUCAGAUUAGGUAGUUGGUGGGGUAAAGGCCUACCAAGCCUACGAUCUGUAGCUGGUCUGAGAGGACGACCAGCCACACUGGGACUGAGACACGGCCCAGACUCCUACGGGAGGCAGCAGUGGGGAAUCUUGGACAAUGGGCGCAAGCCUGAUCCAGCCAUGCCGCGUGAGUGAAGAAGGCCUUCGGGUUGUUAAAGGCUCUUUCGGUGGGUAAGAAAUUGCUUCGGUUAAGUACCUGGAGUAGAUGAC